Molecule: signal recognition particle RNA, 97 nt
Filed under: Bifidobacteriaceae bacterium
Lineage: Bacteria; Bacillati; Actinomycetota; Actinomycetes; Bifidobacteriales; Bifidobacteriaceae
Description: signal recognition particle sRNA small type
Rfam family: Bacterial small signal recognition particle RNA
About the family: The signal recognition particle (SRP) is a universally conserved ribonucleoprotein involved in the co-translational targeting of proteins to membranes.
Source: RNAcentral
CUCGACCCCUCGCGUGGCGGCAUCUCGCUGAACCCCCCCAGGGCCGGAAGGCAGCAAGGGCAGGUGGGCUCUGCCGGGUGCGCGAGGGGUCCUUUUG